GUGAUACAGGCAGGAAGUGACAUAGCAAGCAGACUCAUAAUAUAAGCAGGAAAUCGCUCUCUUGCUCUUCUUCUUCCUCCUGCUCUCUUCUCUAAAGAGCUGCCAUGUGAUCCCAGGAAAAGAACGUCCUCGAUAAAGAAAACAUAAAGAAAAUAUCAAGCUGCCUGAGUGUUUCCACCUGAGAAAUUAGAGCAAUUUUGUACCAUCGCUAGCAUUCAAAUGUUGUUCCUUCCUGUUUAAGUUGGAUGACUUUCCCCGUGCAGGAACUGAAUGUAAUCCUCUGGGCUCUUCCGCUCACAUUCUCCACCAUGUGUGGUCAAUUAAAUCCCAGCAGUAUAGAGGCGGUUUCAUCUAAACGACUGCAUUUCCUGGGAAACCAAGGGGCUAACAUCGCACUUCUAAACACUCUUGAAGUUUGGUGGGUACAAUUGCUUUUCCACAGCCUCCCCCAGCACAGAACACCUCAAGUAAGACAGCAUCCCACCUCUAUCUUACUUGGCAGCGAAUCACUCUUUUAAGAAACCACACUGUUUUCAUUAAGGAUCCCAGUCACUCCUACUUAUCACAGGACGGUCUUCAUCUUUGGCAAAUCAAAUGCUUUCAUGCAGUUUGCGCACCUGGAUUGUAAAAUGAAGGCAACAUCCAGCAAAGCCCAUGUAAAACUGUCUCUAGCAAAAUAACAGUAAAACACAAAACAGAUGCCUGAGAGACAAUUGUGGGGCGGCGGGGGUGGAGGGGUGUCAAAUGGUGAAAAGAUAUUUUGUGCUUAUUGUAAUGAGAAUUUAUAUUGUUACUAAUAGUGAUUUUUAAUUAUAAAGCAAUUUUUAAAUAUAAUAAGAUAAUGCAAUACUAUGUGGUUCUUAGAAAAUGUUUCUCAACACCUGAGUUUUGAUAAAGGAGCCAGAAAAAAAAAAAAAAAAAAAAAAAAAAAAAAAAAAGACUACAUCUCCAACAAAUUGUGCUGGUCAAACUGGAUGACUUCAUGUAGAAGUAUGCAAAUAGAUCCAAAUUUAUCAUCCUUAUACAAAAUACAAUUCCAGAUGGAUCAAGGACAUCAACAUAAGACCAGAUACCCUGAAUCUGAUAGAAGAGAAAGUGGAGAAUUGUUUUGAACUCAUUUGGCACAGGAAAAGCCUUUCUGAACAGAACACACUUAGCAUAGACACUAAGAUCAACAAUUAAUAAAUGGGACCUCAUGAAACUGAGAAGCUCCCCCAUUGCAAAGGACAUCACAAUGUGAACAAAAGGUUAAUAUCUAAAAUACAUUUUAAAAAACUAAAAAACAAAAAGAAAACCUAAACAUGAAGAAAACAAAUAACCCAAUUUAAAAAAUGGGAUACAGCCAGGCGGUGGUGGCACAUGCCGUUAAUCCCAGCACUUGGGAGGCAGAGGCAGGCAGACCUAUGUGAGUUCAAGGCCAGUCUGGUCUCCAGAGCGAGUGCCAGGAUAGGCUCCAAAGCUACACAGAGAAACCCUGUCUCGAAAAACCAAAAAAAAAAAAAAAAAAAAAACCCUGUCUCAAAGGAAAAAAAAAAAAGGGAUACAGAGCUAAACAGAGAAUUCUCAAAAGAGGAAACUCAACUAUCUGAGAAACAGAAAAUGUUCAGCAUCCUUAGUCAUUAGGAAAAUGCAAAUCAAAACUACUUAAGAUUUAAUUUUACACCAGUCAGCAUGGCCAAGAUCAAUAAAACAAAGGACAGCUCAUGGUGGCCAGAAUGUGAGGCAAGAGGAAUGAACAAUCAUUCAUUCCUAGUGGAAAUCAGUGUGGCAGUUCCUCAGGAAGAUGGAAAUAAUCUACCUCAAGGUCCAGCUACAGCACUCUUGGGCAUAUACGCAAAGGACUCUCUACCCUACUAUAGAGAUGCUUGCUCAUCCAAGUUUAUCUGUUGUUCUGUUCAAAACAGCUGGAAACUGGAAACAAUCUAGAUGCCCAUCAGCAGAGGAAUGCAUAAGGACAAUGUGGCACAUUCGAUGGAAUACAAGGAAAAUCACAGGCAAAUAGAUGGAGCUAGAAAAAAAUCAUCCUGAGUGAUAUAACACAGGCCCCAAAAGACAAACAUGCAGACAGAGACCAUUCCAGAAGUCCACAGUUGGCCAAAAUGUAGAGAACAAGUGACCGUGUGGUAUCCAACACAAACUGAUACAUCUACCACACAACCCGACAUCCAAGGCUCAAGGAACAACAGGGAAACUGCAGUAUAAAGACUGUCAAAACCAGAGAACUCAAACAUCUGCUAUGAGGUCCUAUCUUCUAUGUAUUACCAUGAAAUUUCAACAAUAUGGUCACCCAAAUGAGACCUGCACAAAAACAACAUCUGUUGGCAUGCCAACAUGGAUGGAAAUAUCACUAUGUCACACCCCUAGAUGAAAGACUACAAGGAAUUAGUAGAAGCUGAGAAUGGGACAAUCAACCUUCUCUAGGGACAAGCUCUGUAAUAGGUUACCCAAUCCCAGUGGUCUGUCCUAAACACUAAGUGUCAUCAGGUUAUAUUUAUGUAUGUGAAAUAAUAACUAAAGGUUAAGUAUUUGAGAUGGAGUCAUGGAGACAUGGAAAGAGUUGGAGGAGAAAAUGAGGUGUGUUAAUGAUGUAAAUACAGCACUCCUGGAUGAAAUUCUAAAAAAAAAAUUAAUUUAAAAAAGAAAAUGUCAAGUUGUAACAUUCUUUCAAUUUUAGUGUGACUUUUGGUAUAAAAGAUAGCAGACUAGAGAUAGAACUGUAGAUCUUAGGAUCGGUGGGACAUUAUACAAUGAGUCUAUACUUUUAAGUAGGAAAACAAUGUAAUACAUGAGGGCAAAACCAUGCCUGCAAGCCCUUAUUCAGCACAUUGUCUAUCCCAUUUCAUUAAAUCCAUAAAUACAUAGAUAGGCAGCUAAACACAUUGCUAUUUUGUGAUUAAGUUAUAUCUUAUAUUAAAAAGUGUGGUCCUCACUAACAUAUCCCAAGGUUUUUUUUUUUUUUUUUUUUUUUGAGCUCAGAAUGUAGCCUCCAUUGUAUAUAGUAAAAGAUAAAAAAUAAAAAUUUAUGCAGCUAGUCUCUGAACACACAGUUUCCUGUUACGUUUCUCAAUAUUUGCUUGUUGUAUAGUUAAAUUCACCCCAUAAACUUACGCAAUUUCAUUGGGGGAAAGAGCUAUGGCGGUCAUAAGGUUCAAUUCCAGUUAAUUACUGUAAUCAUCCACUACUCAUUCACA
RNAcentral lists this long non-coding RNA (3191 nucleotides) under Cricetulus griseus (Chinese hamster). RNAcentral's name for it is "lncRNA (ENSCGRG00015037894.1)". Lineage: Eukaryota; Metazoa; Chordata; Mammalia; Rodentia; Cricetidae. The record is from RNAcentral.